Molecule: long non-coding RNA, 2771 nt
Organism: Triticum aestivum (bread wheat)
Lineage: Eukaryota; Viridiplantae; Streptophyta; Magnoliopsida; Poales; Poaceae
Exons: 3
Source: RefSeq, a predicted model, not a curated record
ACCAUCCCCAUCCAUCCACAGUUCAAAAUUCGAAUCGAAUCAGGCAGACGCAGCUCCAUCGAGCGGAGGAACCACGCCCUCCCAUCCACGCGCCUGGAUCCCUAGGUUUCUUCACGAUUCAACGAUGAAUUGGGGUGCGGAGUCAUUCAUGGAUCUCCUCUUUAGUCUCUGUUCCCAGCCGGUCGCAACAGAGGGCGUCCCAGAUCUGGGAUUGCUAGAGGAAGAGGAGGAGGAGGACGAAGAGUGCAUCCAUCCUAAUUAACAGAACGAUUUCUCCAAUGUCCCAGAUAUUAACGACACCGAACUGACCAAAGAGACCCCACCUGAAUCGCAUCCCACUCCAGUUCCGUGGACUCAAAGGUACUAGCAUGCCCAAUCUUCAGUUUCUAAUUUCUAGUUUUUUGAUUAACGAAUGUUAACAUCUAGGCCUGUGGAAGAACAUGUAAAAUAUAACUUUAGAGGAGAAGUAGGCAAGCUUGUCAAAAGUUCAGUCUUAAUCACGGGCAUUGACAUAUACAUUAGUAAUCGAUUGAUUGUGUUCAGUUGGUUGCUGUCAAAAUUUCGUUUUUUUGUAGCAAAUCAUAAACAGUACACUUGCCCAAAUUUCAGUUUCUUUUUUCGUGUUACAAGUCCUCCAUUUUAGUACCAAUGAUCGUAAACAGUACACUUGCCCAAAUGUCUCAUCCAUGUGUCAAAGAAUCAUGCAACUGGGCAUGUGGUUACAGUAAUUUAUAUAGACAAUUUUUUGUUGUCCUUUUUGGUCCAUAGUACUGAAUAAAUUGGGUUUGGCAUUGGCAUGUACAGUAGGACAUAUUUAAGAGAGACGUAGCUUUUGACGCUACACGGUUAAAUCUUUUGGAGCACCUGGAUUCAAAAACUGUAGACCACCAUGCACACAUGAGGAUACCCAGCCUCAUUUUUCUGAAUUCAUCAUUGUGUUUUUUUUACAGUAAUUUACUUGUCAGGGUCAUUUGUGUUACAAGAGGCUUGGCAGACAGAGCAAGGUGUGGUGUACGUCAUUGACCAUAUCUAUGCAGAGAGGAGGCAAGCGUGGUCCAGGACACAAUAUCAUGUUCUGUUUGAUCAGGGGUCUGGAGGAUAUUUAUAGUUAGAGAGAUCCCAGAAGUACACAUCGUGAAGAGAUGGACGAAGAACGCUUGCGAGAACCUGCCAAAGCAUCUAAUGAUAUAUAAAGCAUGCAACUCUGCACUGAAGGACGCAACUUAUCGGCACUCUUCCUUGUACACAUCAUGAAGAGAUGGACGAAGAACGCUUGCGAGAACCUGCCAAAGAACCUGGAAGGCCACAAGAGGAAUAACUGCUCAGGAAGAAUGUUUGGCGUCUUCUAAUGACUAGUAAGCUUGCACGUGCAACGCACGUCUGAAAUAUGACUAAGAGAACUUCAUAGGAAUUAAACGAAUACACAAUGUUUUUAUUCUUGAACAAAUACAAGCAAAAAAAACUGUGAUGACGAUAAAUGAGUAGGAGGGGGUUAUGGAUCUUGCUAUCUUCUCUCAUGUUCCUUGUGAUCUCUGUUGCGGCCGUGGUGGUCGGGAUGUGAUUUAUAUACUGUAGUCACCAAAAAAUGUGGAAAAUGAUGAAUUGACGACCGUGACUGAUGUUUAAUUAUUUUCUUGUCACACAAACAUGUUGGAAAACAGCAGUAUACAAAUGCAGCCACAACAACACCAUGAAUAUUCGUCUAGAAAUAUGAGUUUGCUGCAAAAUUGACUGAUCUUCACCACUGUCAAUUACUGCUACAAAUAUAAUGAACAUGCACAAAGAGAAUCAAAAGUUCACCUUAUCACGUAUAGAAGUGGCACUUGGAUUAAGAAUCUGAAACAUAUGCAUGCAUGGUACCAAUAACGAUUGGCAGACAACGUAUACGAACAAAUCUUGCUUACUUUAUUCAAGAUAUUCAGAGAAGCAUGUACUGAAUUUUAGGUGCAUUUUCCAUAGAUUGUCAAAGAGAUUCUGCACAGUUCUUCCAUUCAAAUGGUCUAGAAACUAAAAAAAAUGCAGUAAUCCAUUGGCAUAAAUGCCCUACAUACAAUCUCCUCAAAUCUUGCUUGGAUUCAAUCCAGCAUAUUUGGCAUCUUUCAUGCUUUGUAAAAACAAAUCUUGGCCUAUCGAUGGAUGUAGGAACAGCUACAACAAUUGACAUAUCCAGCAGAAAAUAUUGAUUGGCAUCUUUCAUGCUUUCUAAUUAUUUUUCUUGGGUGUAGGAAGAGGAGAUAGGGCAAAUUAUAACAUAUAAAAAUCCAAUACCAAUUGGCAGGCCAACAUUCAGAGAAGCAUGUACUAAUUUAGCUUGUAGAAAUUCAGAGAAGCAUGUAUUGAAGAAGCUAGCUCACGGGAAAGCAUGUCGCAUGAUUUGAUGCAGCAAUUGCAGAAGAAAUAACCAGUUAAUCACUGACUCAAUUUAGAUUAAAUGGGAACUAUACUGUAUUAAGUUGGCGAGGGGAAAAAACAAUAGAGUUAGUCACUUUCAGUGUACAUGAACAGUGCAGAUAUGCUACAUCAAUGUAUUGAUUCUAUCUCUUGCUAACAUCAGUAUAAGUGUGCAUCGGAACAUGUCAUGGAUUUCCAUAUUCUGAUUAGCCCCAUAAUAGUAUUCUCCAGUUAUUAAUACACUUCAGAAAUAUAUAAUAGGCAUUACAUUUAUACAGAAUGUAUGAUAAUUCAAUCUGCAUUGAGUUACAAAAUUACAGUUGAUUUUGUUUGUUUAGAAAUAAAGGUACAAUCAACUGUAAUUAAGCAUUAUAUGAAAC